GACGAACGCUUGCGGCGUGCUUAACACAUGCAAGUCGAACGGAAAGGCCCUGCUUUUGUGGGGUGCUCGAGUGGCGAACGGGUGAGUAACACGUGAGUAACCUGCCCUUGACUUUGGGAUAACUUCAGGAAACUGGGGCUAAUACCGGAUAGGAGCUCCUGCUGCAUGGUGGGGGUUGGAAAGUUUCGGCGGUUGGGGAUGGACUCGCGGCUUAUCAGCUUGUUGGUGGGGUAGUGGCUUACCAAGGCUUUGACGGGUAGCCGGCCUGAGAGGGUGACCGGCCACAUUGGGACUGAGAUACGGCCCAGACUCCUACGGGAGGCAGCAGUGGGGAAUAUUGCACAAUGGGCGGAAGCCUGAUGCAGCAACGCCGCGUGCGGGAUGACGGCCUUCGGGUUGUAAACCGCUUUCGCCUGUGACGAAGCGUGAGUGACGGUAAUGGGUAAAGAAGCACCGGCUAACUACGUGCCAGCAGCCGCGGUGAUACGUAGGGUGCGAGCGUUGUCCGGAUUUAUUGGGCGUAAAGGGCUCGUAGGUGGUUGAUCGCGUCGGAAGUGUAAUCUUGGGGCUUAACCCUGAGCGUGCUUUCGAUACGGGUUGACUUGAGGAAGGUAGGGGAGAAUGGAAUUCCUGGUGGAGCGGUGGAAUGCGCAGAUAUCAGGAGGAACACCAGUGGCGAAGGCGGUUCUCUGGGCCUUUCCUGACGCUGAGGAGCGAAAGCGUGGGGAGCGAACAGGCUUAGAUACCCUGGUAGUCCACGCUGUAAACGGUGGGUACUAGGUGUGGGGUCCAUUCCACGGGUUCCGUGCCGUAGCUAACGCUUUAAGUACCCCGCCUGGGGAGUACGGCCGCAAGGCUAAAACUCAAAGGAAUUGACGGGGCCCCGCACAAGCGGCGGAGCAUGCGGAUUAAUUCGAUGCAACGCGUAGAACCUUACCUGGGUUUGACAUGGAUCGGGAGUGCUCAGAGAUGGGUGUGCCUCUUUUGGGGUCGGUUCACAGGUGGUGCAUGCCUGUCGUCAGCUCGUGUCGUGAGAUGUUGGGUUAAGUCCCGCAACGAGCGCAACCCUUGUUCACUGUUGCCAGCACGUUAUGGUGGGGACUCAGUGGAGACCGCCGGGGUCAACUCGGAGGAAGGUGGGGAUGACGUCAAGUCCUCAUGCCCCUUAUGUCCAGGGCUUCACGCAUGCUACAAUGGCUGGUACAGAGAGUGGCGAGCCUGUGAGGGUGAGCGAAUCUCGGAAAGCCGGUCUCAGUUCGGAUUGGGGUCUGCAACUCGACCUCUUGAAGUCGGAGUCGCUAGUAAUCGCAGAUCAGCAACGCUGCGGUGAAUACGUUCCCGGG
RNAcentral lists this ribosomal RNA (1343 nucleotides) under uncultured bacterium. RNAcentral's name for it is "16S ribosomal RNA". It matches the Rfam family "Bacterial small subunit ribosomal RNA", at positions 28 to 1378 of the family's 1533-position model. The record is from RNAcentral.